GACGAACGCUGGCGGCGUGCUUAACACAUGCAAGUCGUACGGUAAGGCCCUUUCGGGGGUAUACGAGUGGCGAACGGGUGUGUAACACGGGAGUAACCUGCCCACAACUUUGGGAUAACGCUAGGAAACUGGUUCUAAUACUGGAAAUGUGCUUCUGCCGCAUGGUGGGGGUUGGAAAGCUUCGGCGGGUGUGGAUGGACUCGCGGCCUAUCAGCUUGUUGGUGGGGUAGUGGCCUACCAAGGCGGCGACGGGUAGCCGGACUGAGAGGGUGACCGGCCACAUUGAGACUGAGAUACGGCCACGACUCCUACGGGAGGCAGAGGUGGGGAAUGUUGAAAAAUGGGCGCAAGCCUGAUGCAGAAACGCCGCGUGCGGGAUGACGGACUUCGGGUUGUAAACCGAUUUCAGCAGGGACGAAGCUUUUUGUGACGGUACCUGCAGAAGAAGCACCGGCUAACUACGUG
Molecule: ribosomal RNA, 465 nt
Filed under: uncultured bacterium
Lineage: Bacteria
Description: partial 16S ribosomal RNA
Rfam family: Bacterial small subunit ribosomal RNA
Source: RNAcentral